UACGUAGGAUGCAAGCGUUAUCCGGAAUUAUUGGGCGUAAAGCGAACGUAGGCGGUUUUGUAAGUCUGGGGUUAAAGAUCAAGGCUCAACCUUGGGAGUGCCCUGGAAACUACAAGACUGGAGGACGGCAGAGGAAAGUGGAAUUCCCAGUGUAGCGGUGAAAUGCGUAGAGAUUGGGAGGAACACCAGUGGCGAAAGCGACUUUCUGGGCCGUUCCUGACGCUGAGGUUCGAAAGCCAGGGGAGCAAACGGG
This 253-nucleotide ribosomal RNA is filed under the name uncultured bacterium. Its description in RNAcentral is "partial 16S ribosomal RNA". It matches the Rfam family "Bacterial small subunit ribosomal RNA", at positions 524 to 776 of the family's 1533-position model. The record is from RNAcentral.